This 57-nucleotide ribosomal RNA is filed under the name uncultured eukaryote. RNAcentral's name for it is "partial small subunit ribosomal RNA". The record is from RNAcentral.
CGAUGACUGGGGUGAAGUCGUAACAAGGUUUCCGUAGGUGAACCUGCAGAGGGAUCA